AACGUAGGUUCCGAGCGUUAUCCGGAUUUACUGGGCGUAAAGCGCGUUCAGGCGGUUUGGCAAGUCGGGCAUGAAAUCUCUCGGCUCAACCGGGAGAGGUUGUCCGAUACUGCUGGACUUGAGGGCAGUAGAGGGUGGUGGAAUUCCGGGUGUAGUGGUGAAAUGCGUAGAUAUCCGGAGGAACACCAGUGGCGAAAGCGGCCACCUGGACUGUACCUGACGCUGACACGCGAAAGCUAGGGGAGCGAACGGA
Molecule: ribosomal RNA, 253 nt
Filed under: uncultured bacterium
Lineage: Bacteria
Description: partial 16S ribosomal RNA
Rfam family: Bacterial small subunit ribosomal RNA
Source: RNAcentral